RNAcentral lists this ribosomal RNA (253 nucleotides) under uncultured bacterium. Its description in RNAcentral is "partial 16S ribosomal RNA". It matches the Rfam family "Bacterial small subunit ribosomal RNA", at positions 524 to 776 of the family's 1533-position model. The record is from RNAcentral.
UACGGAGGGGGCGAGCGUUAUGCGGAAUUAUUGGGCGUAAAGGGCGCGUAGGCGGCUUCAUAAGUCAAAGGUGAAAUCCCUCGGCUCAACUGAGGAACUGCCUUUGAAACUGUGGAGCUUGAGGCCGGGAGGGGGUAGCGGAAUUCCCAGUGUAGCGGUGAAAUGCGUAGAUAUUGGGAGGAACACCAGUGGCGAAGGCGGCUACCUGGACCGGAACUGACGCUGAUGCGCGAAAGCGUGGGUAGCAAACAGG